RNAcentral lists this transfer RNA (82 nucleotides) under Ustulina deusta. RNAcentral describes it as "Kretzschmaria deusta tRNA-Asp". It matches the Rfam family "tRNA". From Rfam's summary of the family: Transfer RNA (tRNA) molecules are approximately 80 nucleotides in length. Their secondary structure includes four short double-helical elements and three loops (D, anti-codon, and T loops). Further hydrogen bonds mediate the characteristic L-shaped molecular structure. tRNAs have two regions of fundamental functional importance: the anti-codon, which is responsible for specific mRNA codon recognition, and the 3' end, to which the tRNAs corresponding amino acid is attached (by aminoacyl-tRNA synthetases). tRNAs cope with the degeneracy of the genetic code in two manners: having more than one tRNA (with a specific anti-codon) for a particular amino acid; and 'wobble' base-pairing, i.e. permitting non-standard base-pairing at the 3rd anti-codon position. Lineage: Eukaryota; Fungi; Ascomycota; Sordariomycetes; Xylariales; Xylariaceae. The record is from RNAcentral.
UCUCGAUUGGUCUAGUGGUGAGGAUACCUGCUUGUCAUUAAGCAGUUCGCAGGUGGCCGGGGUUCGAUUCCCCGAUCGAGAG